RNAcentral lists this ribosomal RNA (223 nucleotides) under Bacteroides fragilis. RNAcentral's name for it is "partial 16S ribosomal RNA". It matches the Rfam family "Bacterial small subunit ribosomal RNA", at positions 65 to 288 of the family's 1533-position model. Lineage: Bacteria; Pseudomonadati; Bacteroidota; Bacteroidia; Bacteroidales; Bacteroidaceae. The record is from RNAcentral.
CGGGAAGAAAGCUUGCUUUCUUUGCCGGCGACCGGCGCACGGGUGAGUAACACGUAUCCAACCUGCCCUUUACUCGGGGAUAGCCUUUCGAAAGAAAGAUUAAUACCCGAUAGCAUAAUGAUUCCGCAUGGUUUCAUUAUUAAAGGAUUCCGGUAAAGGAUGGGGAUGCGUUCCAUUAGGUUGUUGGUGGGGUAACGGCCCACCAAGCCUUCGAUGGAUAGGG